ACCGACAUCAGCGAUUCAUUCUGCGAACCCUGGCCAACCGCCAGAUAGGCGUUCAUCCCCAGCUCUUUCAUCUGCUGCUCGCCAAUCACCCGGGUGGUGAUAUUGCUCCAGGCAUCAGCCAGCUGGCGCGCCUGUGACGCCAGAUAAGCGGCAUUACAGAUAUUCGGCGGCAUAUUGCCCAGGUCUUUCGC
This 191-nucleotide antisense RNA is filed under the name uncultured Erwinia sp. Its description in RNAcentral is "Yersinia sRNA 276". It matches the Rfam family "Yersinia sRNA 276". Lineage: Bacteria; Pseudomonadati; Pseudomonadota; Gammaproteobacteria; Enterobacterales; Erwiniaceae. The record is from RNAcentral.